Long non-coding RNA from Oncorhynchus tshawytscha (Chinook salmon), 344 nucleotides. The record is from Ensembl. NCBI's taxonomy places the organism in Eukaryota, Metazoa, Chordata, Actinopteri, Salmoniformes, Salmonidae.
CAAACAUUUUCGCAGUCUUAAUGUUAACAGGCAAAAAUGGCAGGCACAAGCAAGAGUAUUAAAGGGUCACAGGAGUAAAAUGAAAGCAUUCAAGUGGAUUUUGCAACACUCAACCGCAGAAAAUAGAUGGCUGAAAAAGACAGAUCCUCCGACGUAACUCAUUUCCGUUUUUUAGGACUACAAACUGAGACAACCAGGAAGUAAGAAGAGUGGUGAAUUUGCCUGUGUGUAGAGCUCCUUGCAUACUGGUUGUGGAAGUGGGUGAGACAACGCACCACAAACACUGUCUGGCAACAUGUCUCAACCUAAAGGCAAGUACCAUGACGCUCUUCAUAAUAAACUAG